Molecule: long non-coding RNA, 623 nt
Organism: Vicia villosa (hairy vetch)
Lineage: Eukaryota; Viridiplantae; Streptophyta; Magnoliopsida; Fabales; Fabaceae
Exons: 3
Source: RefSeq, a predicted model, not a curated record
UUCAUUUCCGAAAACAGCAUUUCGGAAGUGAACUUCCGAAAUACUGCGCGUUCUGCAGAUUUAUUAAAACACUCCCCCUCCCCCAUUCAUUUACCCUAACUCAAAUCAAAAACAAGCAAAGGCGAAAAUUUGUGCAAACACACUUCCAAGGCUGCAUCAAGGCUCCAAUCACAUUGCUAUACAACAUUCAAAAGCCCACAAAUCACUCAAUUUGAACAUGUCAGGCAACCAACCAGCACGCAUCAGACAGGGUAGGGAGACCCAGACUGCGUCAGCUACACAGGGAAUGGGUGGCGCUAAGGGAAAAAAGGAGGUGAAGGAGAAGAAGAAGGUUUCGACCGGCUCUACUUCUCGUUCCCAGGGGGCCCGGGGCCCGGAUGCUCAAGCUCAACUAUCUGGCGUGAGAGUCGUGGUUGAUGCUGAUGGUUCUGAGACUGAGUGGGAUGAGGAUUGGUAUCAGUAUCUUCAUUCGGAGGAGUUCGCUCGUCGGGCAGAAUAAUGUGUUUUUGUUUUGUUUGAUGUGUAUUUUGUAACGCUCGUCGGGCAGAAUAACGUGUUUUUGUUUUGUUUGACGUGUUUUGUUUUGUUUUGUUUUGAUUUCGGAUUGUAUCUUUCGCACAGUG